AAGUCGUAACAAGGUUUCCGUAGGUGAACCUGCGGAAGGAUCAUUAACACGUAUCCAACGUUAAAACCCCCUGUGAACCUUCAUUGUGGACCCCCAUUCCGUUAGAACGCGGCAAUCCCUGGUAAAUCAUCGCCGAAUGCAUGGUUUGGGCAGCUCCGCGAGGCAAGUGGCCUGGCAUUCGUAAGAAUGGCGCAGUCACGAUCGCUAGAGGCCGACACGGCCGGCGACCGGGUCACUGGGCUCUGCCCCCCUAUCACCUUUGCAUGAAACCGGGCCUGCGCUUAAUUGUGCGGCCACCAAACUUCGAACAACUGUUAACAAUGGAUAUCUUGGUUCUC
Molecule: unclassified non-coding RNA, 338 nt
Filed under: fungal sp.
Lineage: Eukaryota; Fungi
Description: partial internal transcribed spacer region
Rfam family: Eukaryotic small subunit ribosomal RNA (bases 1-46)
Source: RNAcentral